CGUAUCAAGGUAGGGCCAGAACGCUGGGCUUGUAAUCCUGAGGUCCCGGGUUCGAUUCCCGGUGGUGCCC
Molecule: transfer RNA, 70 nt
Filed under: Zootermopsis nevadensis
Lineage: Eukaryota; Metazoa; Arthropoda; Insecta; Blattodea; Termopsidae
Rfam family: tRNA
About the family: Transfer RNA (tRNA) molecules are approximately 80 nucleotides in length. Their secondary structure includes four short double-helical elements and three loops (D, anti-codon, and T loops).
Source: Rfam by way of RNAcentral